RNAcentral lists this ribosomal RNA (607 nucleotides) under Silicimonas algicola. RNAcentral describes it as "bacterial SSU rRNA". It matches the Rfam family "Bacterial small subunit ribosomal RNA", at positions 66 to 721 of the family's 1533-position model. Lineage: Bacteria; Pseudomonadati; Pseudomonadota; Alphaproteobacteria; Rhodobacterales; Paracoccaceae. The record is from RNAcentral.
GCGCACCUUCGGGUGAGCGGCGGACGGGUGAGUAACGCGUGGGAAUAUGCCCUUCUCUACGGAAUAGCCUCGGGAAACUGAGAGUAAUACCGUAUACGCCCUUCGGGGGAAAGAUUUAUCGGAGAAGGAUUAGCCCGCGUUGGAUUAGGUAGUUGGUGGGGUAAUGGCCUACCAAGCCGACGAUCCAUAGCUGGUUUGAGAGGAUGAUCAGCCACACUGGGACUGAGACACGGCCCAGACUCCUACGGGAGGCAGCAGUGGGGAAUCUUAUACAAUGGGGGAAACCCUGAUCUAGCCAUGCCGCGUGAGUGACGAAGGCCCUAGGGUCGUAAAGCUCUUUCAGCUGUGAAGAUAAUGACGGUAGCAGCAGAAGAAACCCCGGCUAACUCCGUGCCAGCAGCCGCGGUAAUACGGAGGGGGUUAGCGUUGUUCGGAAUUACUGGGCGUAAAGCGCGCGUAGGCGGACUAUUAAGUCAGGGGUGAAAUCCCGGGGCUCAACCCCGGAACUGCCCUUGAUACUGGUAGUCUUGAGUUCGAGAGAGGUGAGUGGAAUUCCGAGUGUAGAGGUGAAAUUCGUAGAUAUUCGGAGGAACACCAGUGGCGAAGG